Molecule: transfer RNA, 66 nt
Filed under: Nebrioporus canaliculatus
Lineage: Eukaryota; Metazoa; Arthropoda; Insecta; Coleoptera; Dytiscidae
Description: tRNA-Ser
Source: RNAcentral
AGUUAAUGAACUUGAAUAAGUAUAUGUUUUGAAAACAUAAUAUAGGAAUAAUAUCCCUAUUAACUU